UGGAGCCGUCUAAGGUGAGGCUCGUGAUUGGGACUAAGUCGUAACAAGGUAGCCGUACCGGAAGGUGCGGCUGGAUCACCUCCUUU
Molecule: ribosomal RNA, 86 nt
Filed under: Bifidobacterium longum
Lineage: Bacteria; Bacillati; Actinomycetota; Actinomycetes; Bifidobacteriales; Bifidobacteriaceae
Description: partial 16S ribosomal RNA
Rfam family: Bacterial small subunit ribosomal RNA
Source: RNAcentral